Molecule: long non-coding RNA, 1241 nt
Organism: Ictalurus punctatus (channel catfish)
Lineage: Eukaryota; Metazoa; Chordata; Actinopteri; Siluriformes; Ictaluridae
Source: Ensembl
CACAGGAUGUUUACGAACGUACAGUAAAACGUCACUAGUUAAGUCUUUUAGACCAGAGGAACACCUAAAAAAAAUAACUAGGAAAAACAGGAAACUAUGUUUAUUCGUCCAUCUUCUGUAAUCGCUUCGUUCUGGUCAGCCUAUCCUGGAAACACUAUAUUUAUCUCCACAUGGGCAUCUGCUGCAAUCGCUCGAUCUUCAUUAUCACAUUUAUGCUGAUGAUACCCAAAUCUAUAUUCAUUCAAAAUCUGGUUCCCGUCAUCUCAAAGCUGGUCCACUGUCUCUGUUGAUGGCUCUGUUCUAGAGACUCGAAGGAAAAUAAGGAAGCUUGGAUGUGUCCUGCUUUCUGAAAAGGCGGGAAUGUCAGGAACAUUUACCGUCCAACAGGAGUUACAGCGACAUUAAAAUCAGCAGAUGACACAUCAAAUCUAAAAUAUUGAGCCUCACUUGGAUGGACAUGGUCUGUGGUCAGAAUUGAGUGAUUCUAGGUAGUGGUAGAUCAACAUCCGAAAAACCACAAAUGGUUAUUGCAGUAAUCUCUUCGUAUGAUUGCUAUUUCAUGACACAAAUCUGAACAAAUACAAAAACCAUAUGAGUCAAGCUGUUCCUUUCUUCUGAGGCGCCCAGGGAUCCCUUUUCUCCUCAAGGCAAAUCUGGAAAUAUCAGCACAACUGUAUAGGAGUACAAAUGAUUUCACAUAUGUAAUAUAGUUUUUAUAUAUGGUUCACAAGUGAAGGCAUGGAUCAUAAGAGUCACAACGAAAAACUCACACACAAAGCGAGACCUGCAGUUAAACACACACACAAAUGUCACAUCUGGAAUUAUUAUCAGAGAUUUGGGAAAGCUUACUAAAUAUAAUUAAUUCAUCACUCAGCUUUUAAAAAACAAGUUUUUAAAUAUAGCUAUUAUUUAUUUAUUCAUUUAUUUAAUGUCCAACACACCCUUUUCUAUCAAAGAAUGUGGCGAAAGCUGUUAUCCAAAUGCUCUGCUCUUUUCUAAGUGUGAAUAACAAGCAUGUGUGGAUUGCUGAAUCAUCAUAAUAUAGAAUCAGCACUACUGACCUGAUAUUAUAUACUCCCCUCUGAAACUAUUGGAAUGGCAAUGCCAAUUCAUUUGCUUUUGCUGUAGACUGAAGACAUGAGGAAAAAUCAAUCAGAGGCAUUGCACAAACAGUGAACAUAACCACUACAACAAUUUGGAAUGUCCUGAAAAAGAAAGAAACCACUGAUGUACUGAGCAAC